AGGUAAAAAGCGAACCAUUGCAAUCAGUUUCGACCUGACACUUGAUAUUAAAUUAUCUUUACCUA
Molecule: transfer RNA, 65 nt
Filed under: Faughnia haani
Lineage: Eukaryota; Metazoa; Arthropoda; Malacostraca; Stomatopoda; Parasquillidae
Description: tRNA-Arg
Source: RNAcentral